UAAAAAAAGGUAAGCUACUAAGAGCAAAUGGUGGAUGCCUUGGCUAGUAGAGGCGAUGAAAGACGUGCUAGGCUGCGAUAAGUCUCGGGGAGCCGUCAAGGGGCUUUGAUCCGGGAAUUUCUGAAUGGGGCAACCCAGUAUAUAGUGAUAUAUACUACCGCAAUGCGGAGCGAACGUUGGGAAUUGAAACAUCUUAGUACCAACAGGAAAAGAAAUCAAACGAGAUUACGCUAGUAGCGGCGAGCGAAAGCGUAAGAGGGCAAACCACUAGCUUGCUAGUGGGGUUGUAGGACUGCAAUAUAGACUUAAACAAUCUAAUAGAAUAAGCUGGAAAGCUUAAGCAUAGAGGGUGAUACUCCCGUAUAUGAAAGUGCGUUUAUACUUAGCAGUAUCCUGAGUAGGGCGGGACACGUGUAAUCCUGUCUGAAGCUGGGUAGACCACUAUCCAACCCUAAAUACUACUACUAGACCGAUAGUGCACAAGUACCGUGAGGGAAAGGUGAAAAGAACUGAGGUGAUCAGAGUGAAAUAGAACCUGAAACCAUUUGCUUACAAUCAUUCAGAGCCCUAUGAUUUAUCAGGGUGAUGGACUGCCUUUUGCAUAAUGAGCCUGCGAGUUGUGGUGUCUGGCAAGGUUAAGGAAACCCGGAGCCGUAGCGAAAGCGAGUCUUAAUAGGGCGUAUAGUCAGAUGCUGCAGACCCGAAACGAUGUGAUCUAUCCAUGAGCAGGUUGAAACCGGUGUAAGAGCCGGUGGAGGACCGAACAGACGGCCGUUGAAAAGGCUCCUGAUGACUUGUGGAUAGGGGUGAAAGGCCAAUCAAACAUCGUGAUAGCUGGUUCUCUCCGAAAUAUAUUUAGGUAUAGCGUUGUGUAGUAACUUUGUGAGGUAGAGCACUGAAUGGGCUAGGGCAUACACCAAUGUACCAAACCCUAUCAAACUCCGAAUGCGCAAAGUGUAAUCACAGCAGUCAGGCGGCGAGUGAUAAAAUCCGUCGUCAAGAGGGGAACAACCCAGACUAACAGCUAAGGUCCCUAAAUCUCAUUUAAGUGGAAAACGAUGUGAAGUUACUUUAACAACCAGGAGGUUGGCUUAGAAGCAGCCAUCCUUUAAAGAAAGCGUAAUAGCUCACUGGUCUAGUGAUUUCGCGCGGAAAAUAUAACGGGGCUAAAAUGAGUACCGAAGCUUUAGA
This 1191-nucleotide ribosomal RNA is filed under the name Campylobacter hyointestinalis subsp. lawsonii. RNAcentral's name for it is "bacterial LSU rRNA". It matches the Rfam family "Bacterial large subunit ribosomal RNA", at positions 1 to 1206 of the family's 2925-position model. The record is from RNAcentral. Lineage: Bacteria; Pseudomonadati; Campylobacterota; Epsilonproteobacteria; Campylobacterales; Campylobacteraceae.